GUGAGGAAUAUUGGUCAAUGGUCGGAAGACUGAACCAGCCAUGCCGCGUGCAGGAAGACGGUCCUAUGGAUUGUAAACUGCUUUUGUACGGGAAGAAACACUCCUUCGUGAAGGAGCUUGACGGUACCGUAAGAAUAAGGAUCGGCUAACUCCGUGCCAGCAGCCGCGGUAAUACGGAGGAUCCAAGCGUUAUCCGGAAUCAUUGGGUUUAAAGGGUCCGUAGGCGGUUAGAUAAGUCAGUGGUGAAAUCCGGCAGCUUAACUGUCGAACUGCCAUUGAUACUGUUUGACUUGAAUUACUGUGAAGUAACUAGAAUAUGUAGUGUAGCGGUGAAAUGCUUAGAUAUUACAUGGAAUACCAAUUGCGAAGGCAGGUUACUAAUGGUUUAUUGACGCUGAUGGACGAAAGCGUGGGGAGCGAACAGGAUUAGAAACCCUGGUAGUCC
RNAcentral lists this ribosomal RNA (445 nucleotides) under uncultured bacterium. RNAcentral's name for it is "bacterial SSU rRNA". It matches the Rfam family "Bacterial small subunit ribosomal RNA", at positions 354 to 796 of the family's 1533-position model. The record is from RNAcentral.